GCCCCCUCGCCUGGUAUCUGUGGAGAAGCCCAGGCAAGAAAGGGACUGGCAGGAAGUUCUGCGGCCGCCCGCGGUGCUCUGGAAGAAGGGCUGUAUGAGGUAAGGAUUUGCCUGAGCUUGGAAAGACAAAUCAUCCUACAAGCACUACCAAAGUAGAUUCUACCCCUCUUUUGGUGGAUUGUCAGCAAUGCCUCUGACAAUGAAGAGAA
This 209-nucleotide long non-coding RNA is filed under the name Bos indicus x Bos taurus (hybrid cattle). RNAcentral's name for it is "lncRNA (ENSBIXG00005020030.1)". Lineage: Eukaryota; Metazoa; Chordata; Mammalia; Artiodactyla; Bovidae. The record is from RNAcentral.